ACGUUUUUCGAAAGGGACGCUAAUACCGCAUACGUCCUACGGGGAGAAAGCAGGGGACCUUCGGGCCUUGGCUAUCAGAUGAGCCUAGGUCGGAUUAGCUAGUUGGUGAGGUAAUGGCUCACCAAGGCGACGAUCCGUAACUGGUCUGAGAGGAUGAUCAGUCACACUGGAACUGAGACACGGUCCAGACUCCUACGGGAGGCAGCAGUGGGGAAUAUUGGACAAUGGGCGAAAGCCUGAUCCAGCCAUGCCGCGUGUGUGAAGAAGGCCUUCGGAUUGUAAAGCACUUUAAGUUGGGAGGAAGGGCUGUAAGUUAAUACCUUGCUGUUGUGACGUUACCGACAGAAUAAGCACCGGCUAACUCUGUGCCAGCGGCCGCGGUAAUACAAAGGGUGCAAGCGUUAAUCGGAAUUACUGGGCGUAAAGCCGCGUAGGUGGUUCGGACAAGUUGCAUGUGAAAGCCCCGGCUCAACCUGGGAACUGCAUCCAAAACUGGAGAGCUAGAGUAUGGUAGAGGGUGUGAAAUUUCCUGUUUAGCGGUGAAAUGCGUAAUAUGGAGAACCCCCGUG
Molecule: ribosomal RNA, 569 nt
Filed under: Pseudomonas putida
Lineage: Bacteria; Pseudomonadati; Pseudomonadota; Gammaproteobacteria; Pseudomonadales; Pseudomonadaceae
Description: bacterial SSU rRNA
Rfam family: Bacterial small subunit ribosomal RNA
Source: RNAcentral